GGACACAACACACAGCGCGCGGUCCAAACCUUCGGAGGGCAUUCGGUGCGACGGCAUCCCCACGCCGCGGCCGGCCGGAGGGGGCCUCAGACAACACGAUGCCUGGAUCACAGUGAAAAGGGCCUUGCCCUGGCCGAACACAAGGAUCCACCCCUUUCGUCAACCUGUCUCAAGUAAACUCGAGGGACAGAUUCAUGGGGAACCAGAUGGACAGAUGGACGAGAGCCAUCCAGAUGAUCACAGACCACAUUAGCGUUUAAACCUCAAAAAUGAGGAUCAUACUCCUCGCUUCUCCUGAGCGUAACAUUCCUGGACACGGAGCAUGAGGGAAUCUACACAUCUCAGGCCACGAAGAGAAGGCAGAAGACAAGCCGCUGACACAAACCCCACCUGUAACACAGCUCCACCAAUGUCCACACCAGAUCCUGUUCCCAUGAACUCAGAGCACAAGGCAGCUACUGAGGCAACCAGCACACAGGACUGAUGAGGCCUUUGAGAAGUGACCUUUGAAGAGAUGAUUGAGGAGAAGGGGUCAAUUGUGAAAGAUCUGAGGAAAGAAUUUUCAGACAUGGAGACAGAAAAGGGAAGAUCUUGGGCCUCCUUAGGACACACUUCUGCGUGCUCCCAGCUGCCCACUAACUCCAGUGCAUCCCCAGAACCCUGACCCAGGCAACUCCAGGGGCCCCAGGACCACCCUACCUGUGCAACCUGCAAAGAGGAUCGUGACGAGGACUUCUCGUCCCGACAACAGAGCUACUGCAAAUUCUCAUCCAUUGCCCCGUCUCACUCUCAGUACCAUCCUGCGAGGUGGGAGUCAGCAUCCCUAUUUGCAGAUAAGCCAGCUGCAUCUCAGAGAGGGGCUAGGUAUCCUCUUCACCCCACACCCACGGGACCCAGCAUAACGCCCAGCCUCCCGACCUCGGGCCAUCUGUCCAUCUGUCCACCCUUCCACCCUAGGUGUAGUCAGCACCUCAAAGCUUUAGGGUCUGGGACUCUCCACCACCAGGCCCCAGGGGCACGUGUUGUCCAUCACUGUUUUCAUCAGAUUCUGGAAGAAUUAGAACAGCUAGGA
Long non-coding RNA from Globicephala melas (long-finned pilot whale), 1072 nucleotides. RefSeq lists it as uncharacterized. The record is from RefSeq and is a predicted model, not a curated record. NCBI's taxonomy places the organism in Eukaryota, Metazoa, Chordata, Mammalia, Artiodactyla, Delphinidae.